Molecule: long non-coding RNA, 300 nt
Organism: Triticum aestivum (bread wheat)
Lineage: Eukaryota; Viridiplantae; Streptophyta; Magnoliopsida; Poales; Poaceae
Exons: 2
Source: RefSeq, a predicted model, not a curated record
UUCAAAUCCCAUGAAUGUCAUUUUGCACCGAAGGUUUGUAACCAUUGGGGAAUGUUUUCUUGCUCUGAUGUAUCAAGUUGCCAUGGGGGUGAUCUAGAGGUCUCUUCCUUGUCCAAAGUAUGUCGUACCUAAUCAAGACAUGUUCAUUUAAUUUACCCGUCAUGUAAAUGACACAACAUGAUUCACUUGUGUAUAGUGUAAACAUAUAUUUAUUUAUGGCAAGCAGGUGUUCAAAUUAUAGUUGUGAAACGUGUAUAGUGUAAGGAUAUAAUUAUUAAGGGAAGUGACGUCACAGUGGUC